GAUGAACGCUGACAGAAUGCUUAACACAUGCAAGUCAACUUGAAUUUGGGUUUUUAACUUAGGUUUGGGUGGCGGACGGGUGAGUAACGCGUAAAGAACUUGCCUCACAGCUAGGGACAACAUUUGGAAACGAAUGCUAAUACCUAAUAUUAUGAUAAUAGGGCAUCCUAUACUUAUGAAAGCUAUAAGCGCUGUGAGAGAGCUUUGCGUCCCAUUAGCUAGUUGGAGAGGUAACGGCUCACCAAGGCGAUGAUGGGUAGCCGGCCUGAGAGGGUGAUCGGCCACAAGGGGACUGAGACACGGCCAUUACGCCUACGGGAGGCAGCAGUGGGGAAUAUUUGACAAUGGACCAAGAGUCUGAUCCAGCACUUCGGUGUGCGCGAUGAAGUUUUUCGGAAUGUAAAGUGCUUUCAGUUGGGAAGAAAGAAAUGACGGUACCAACAGAAGAAGUGACGGCUAAAUACGUG
RNAcentral lists this ribosomal RNA (467 nucleotides) under uncultured bacterium. RNAcentral's name for it is "partial 16S ribosomal RNA". It matches the Rfam family "Bacterial small subunit ribosomal RNA", at positions 28 to 507 of the family's 1533-position model. The record is from RNAcentral.